This 1276-nucleotide long non-coding RNA is filed under the name Homo sapiens (human). RNAcentral's name for it is "HSALNT0351911". Lineage: Eukaryota; Metazoa; Chordata; Mammalia; Primates; Hominidae. The record is from RNAcentral.
GUGAGAACAGGCACUAUCCUGGCACUUUGUGACUUGCAGACAUGUUUACCUCUAAUCUUUUCAAGUGGUUUUUUCCUACACAACCGUGCUGGUCAGCACUCAGCUGAAGACUCAGGGGAACCCUCUACCGAUCUCUGUCUCCCAGAACUCUCUCUUUGUGCAGCUGCCUCCUCUCCAGUACUAUCUCCUGCGAAUUCUAGCUGUCUUUGUCUUCCCAGAGUCUCAGUUCUUUCUCCUCAACUCGGGGAACCUGCAGGGCUCUGCCUGGGUUUCCCCUGCCUGUACUACAUUCUGCAUUAAGCCUUUGAGCUUCUGAUUGGAGGCAUUGAAGUCGGCCUGUCCCACUUCCCCUUCUUUGCCUGCCUCUCGUCGGAAUUCCAGCUGGUCAGCUCCAUCUUGGGCUUCUGCUACUCUGAUCUGGUUUGCUGUCACCAUUAUUCAAGUUUCACAGUGUCCCCACGGGCAGAUGGAGUCUCUCAAGCUGGAGUGCAGUGGCGUGAUCUCGGCUCACUGCAACCUCUGCCUCCCGGGUUCAAGUGAUUCCUCCAGCUCAGCCUCCCAAGUAGCUGGGAUUACAGGAUUCCAUAUCAGGAUACCACAGGACACUGAGUCCUUAGGUUCUUCCCGGCUGUGAUCGUUUCUCAGGCCUACAUUGUUUUUGAUGACCUUGAUGGUUUUAGGGGGUACUAGUCAGGUGUUUUUGGGAACUGUUUCUCAGCUGAGGUUUGUCUGAUGUAGUGGGAUUAUUAGUUUUGGGAGGGAACAUGUCAAGGUAAAAUGCCAUUCUCAUCCUGUCGUAUGAUACACACUUUCAACUUGACUGAUCACUGCUCACACUGGCCUUGAUCACCUGGCUGAGACAGUGUUUGUUAGGUUUCUCCAACGUGAAGUUACUCUUUUUCCUCCUUUGCUAUACUGAGUUCUUGGUAGGAUGUCAUUAUGUGAAGCCCACAGUUUAGAAGUGGGGAGUGAUGCUCUGCUUCCUGGAGUGUCUGAUCUCCUUUUGAAAUGAUUUUUCAUGCUGAACACAGAGUAAUUAAAGUAAGAAAAAUACGGAUAUUGAAUGACUAGUUGCAAGAAGUCCAUUAUGACAUCUGACAUGAAAAAUUAUCUAUCUACCUGUCUAUUAAACGAUUAUAUCUGUGUAUACAAACAUUAAAUACUAAGCUAUGCAGUAUCGUCUUUACUGAAGGUAAAGGUCAUUAGAUUAUAUGCCAUGCAGUGAACUGAGAAAUAUCUCAUUUUUCAGACCUAAAUCCCAUCAUUUCUUCAGAAU